UACAGAGGUCUCAAGCGUUGUUCGGAUUCAUUGGGCGUAAAGGGUGCGUAGGCGGCGCGGUAAGUCGGGUGUGAAACCUCCAGGCUCAACCUGGAGACGCCAUCUGAUACUGCCGUGGCUUGAGUCCGGUAGAGGAGCAGGGAAUUCCUGGUGUAGCGGUGAAAUGCGCAGAUAUCAGGAGGAACACCAGCGGCGAAGGCGCUGCUCUGGGCCGGUACUGACGCUGAGGAGCGAAAGCGUGGGGAGCGAACAGG
RNAcentral lists this ribosomal RNA (254 nucleotides) under uncultured bacterium. Its description in RNAcentral is "partial 16S ribosomal RNA". It matches the Rfam family "Bacterial small subunit ribosomal RNA", at positions 524 to 776 of the family's 1533-position model. The record is from RNAcentral.